UACGAAGGGGGCUAGCGUUGUUCGGACUUACUGGGCGUAAAGCGCACGUAGGCGGAUCGUUAAGUCAGGGGUGAAAUCCUGGGGCUCAACCCCAGAACUGCCUUUGAUACUGGCGAUCUCGAGUCCGGAAGAGGUGAGUGGAACUCCUAGUGUAGAGGUGGAAUUCGUAGAUAUUAGGAAGAACACCAGUGGCGAAGGCGGCUCACUGGUCCGGUACUGACGCUGAGGUGCGAAAGCGUGGGGAGCAAACAGG
This 253-nucleotide ribosomal RNA is filed under the name uncultured bacterium. RNAcentral describes it as "partial 16S ribosomal RNA". It matches the Rfam family "Bacterial small subunit ribosomal RNA", at positions 524 to 776 of the family's 1533-position model. The record is from RNAcentral.